GACGAACGCUGGCGGCGUGCUUAACACAUGCAAGUCGAACGGAAAGGCCCUGCUUUUGUGGGGUGCUCGAGUGGCGAACGGGUGAGUAACACGUGAGUAACCUGCCCUUGACUUUGGGAUAACUUCAGGAAACUGGGGCUAAUACCGGAUAGGAGCUCCUGCUGCAUGGUGGGGGUUGGAAAGUUUCGGCGGUUGGGGAUGGACUCGCGGCUUAUCAGCUUGUUUGUGGGGUAGUGGCUUACCAAGGCUUUGACGGGUAGCCGGCCUGAGAGGGUUACCGGCCACAUUGGGACUGAGAUACGGCGCAGACUCCUACGGGAGGCAGCAGUGGGAAAUAUUGCACAAUGGGCGGAAGCCAGAUGCAGAAACGCCGCGUGCGGGAUAACGGCCUUCGGGUGGUAAACCGCUGUCGCCUGUGACGAAGCGUGAGUGACGGUAAUGGGUAAAGAAGCACCGGCUAACUACGUG
This 468-nucleotide ribosomal RNA is filed under the name uncultured bacterium. RNAcentral describes it as "partial 16S ribosomal RNA". It matches the Rfam family "Bacterial small subunit ribosomal RNA", at positions 28 to 507 of the family's 1533-position model. The record is from RNAcentral.